UGGACAGAUAAUUGUAUUCGACUGUAUUCACGGCAUGAAAUAGGGGAUUACACUGUUUUUAAAACGGAAAGUGAAUCAAUUAACAUAAUAGACUCCU
Molecule: non-coding RNA, 97 nt
Organism: Nicotiana sylvestris (wood tobacco)
Lineage: Eukaryota; Viridiplantae; Streptophyta; Magnoliopsida; Solanales; Solanaceae
Source: Rfam